This is a long non-coding RNA of Zophobas morio, 438 nucleotides long. RefSeq lists it as uncharacterized. The transcript is spliced from 3 exons. The record is from RefSeq and is a predicted model, not a curated record. NCBI's taxonomy places the organism in Eukaryota, Metazoa, Arthropoda, Insecta, Coleoptera, Tenebrionidae.
UUGAAACGAUUAUAUUUGAUACUUUUUGUCUCGUAUUAGUUGUUCAUUUUUGGUUAUACACUUCUCUGUGUUAAAUCAGUGACGUCUAUACUGUCAGUUUGGUGUGAGUUUACUUUUGUUAAACUUUUAAACUGAUCUGGUCAUCAGAGUUUUUACCCGGGAUCAUUGAAUGAUAAAGUUGAUCAGCUGAUAUGAAGUAUAAACUAAUGGAAAAUUAUUAGAGUUAGAUUAGUUCAAGUUAUGGAGAAAAUGCACAAGUUGAAACUCGUUUCAGCUAAAACAAUACGACAAAACGUCAACAAAGUGACCUUAAAGUUCAAGACAUAUUAGAAAUGGAAAAACGGUACCAGGGAAAGUGGAAUCCUGUGAUAUAUUUAGAUUUGAUGUACAUUUAUAAGUGUAAAAAUCUUUGUAUUGAAAUAAAAAAAGAAAUAGAGC